Molecule: ribosomal RNA, 1234 nt
Filed under: metagenome
Description: bacterial LSU rRNA
Rfam family: Bacterial large subunit ribosomal RNA
Source: RNAcentral
UGAUGACGAGACGCUAAGGCGUUGAAGCAGUGUAUGUCAGACUUCCAAGAAAAGCUCGCAAUGUCACAAAUAAAAAUGCCUGUACCAUAACCGACACAGGUGGGUAGGUAGAGUAUACUAAGGGGCGCGAGAUAACUCUCUCUAAGGAACUCGGCAAAAUGACUCCGUAACUUCGGGAGAAGGAGUGCCUUAUUUAUAAGGUUGCAAUAACAAGAUCCAAGCAACUGUUUAUCAAAAACACAGGUCUCCGCUAAGUCGUAAGACGAUGUAUGGGGGCUGACGCCUGCCCAGUGCCAGAAGGUUAAAGAAGUUGGUUAGUGUAUGCGAAGCUGAUGACUGAAGCCCUGGUGAACGGCGGCCGUAACUAUAACGGUCCUAAGGUAGCGAAAUUCCUUGUCGGGUAAGUUCCGACCCGCACGAAAGGCGUAAUGAUUUGGAUACUGUCUCGGAGAGAGGCUCGGUGAAAUAGACUUGUCUGUGAAGAUGCGGACUACCUGCACCAGGACAGAAAGACCCUAUGAAGCUUUACUGUAACUUGAAAUUGGAAUUGGACUUUGCUUGCGCAGUAUAGGUGGGAAGCGUUGAAAAUAUUCUUGCGGGAGUAUUGGAGCUAUCAGUGAGAUACCACUCUUGUAAUGUUAGAUUUCUAACUUUGAACCAUAAUCUGGUCAAAGAACAGUUUCAGGUGGGCAGUUUGACUGGGGCGGUCGCCUCCCAAAUGGUAACGGAGGCGUACAAAGGUUUCCUCUGAACGGAUAGAAAUCGUAUCUAGAGUGUAAAGGCAUAAGGAAGCUUGACUGUGAGACCUACAAGUCGAGCAGGGACGAAAGUCGGUCUUAGUGAUCUGACGGUACUGAGUGGAAAGGCCGUCACUCAACGGAUAAAAGUUACUCUAGGGAUAACAGGCUGAUCUCCCCCAAGAGUUCACAUCGACGGGGAGGUUUGGCACCUCGAUGUCGGCUCAUCGCAUCCUGGGGCGGUAGUACGUCCCAAGGGUUGGGCUGUUCGCCCAUGAAAGCGGUACGCGAGCUGGGUUCAGAACGUCGUGAGACAGUUCGGUCCAUAUCCGGUGUAGGCGCUAGAAUAUUGAGAGGAGCCUUCUUUAGUACGAGAGGACCGAGAAGGACACACCGCUGGUGUACCAGUUAUCGUGCCAACGGUAAACGCUGGGUAGCUAUGUGUGGAGUGGAUAACCGCUGAAAGCAUCUAAGUGGGAAGCCCACCUCGAGAUGAG